RNAcentral lists this ribosomal RNA (220 nucleotides) under Acanthamoeba sp. AcHu/5/2005/T4. RNAcentral's name for it is "partial 18S ribosomal RNA". The stretch from base 1 to 179 matches the Rfam family "Eukaryotic small subunit ribosomal RNA", at positions 935 to 1116 of the family's 1831-position model. The record is from RNAcentral. Lineage: Eukaryota; Discosea; Longamoebia; Acanthamoebidae.
ACAUUCGUGCCGAAAGCAUCUGCCAAGGAUGUUUUCAUUAAUCAAGAACGAAAGUUAGGGGAUCGAAGACGAUCAAAUACCGUCGUAGUCUUAACCAUAAACGAUGCCGACCAGCGAUUAGGAGACGUUGAAUACAAAACACCACCAUCGGUGCGGUCGUCCUUGGCGUCUCGGUUUCGGCCGGGGCGCGGGGAUGGCUUAGCCCGGUGGCACCGGUGAA